Molecule: unclassified non-coding RNA, 304 nt
Filed under: uncultured Ascomycota
Lineage: Eukaryota; Fungi; Ascomycota
Description: sequence contains ITS1
Rfam family: 5.8S ribosomal RNA (bases 1-105)
Source: RNAcentral
GAAAUGCGAUAAGUAAUGUGAAUUGCAGAAUUCAGUGAAUCAUCGAAUCUUUGAACGCACAUUGCGCCCUUUGGUAUUCCGAGGGGCAUGCCUUUUCGAGCGUCAUUGCAACCGUCAAGCUCUGCUUGGUAUUGGGCCAGCGUCCCGGCGUGGAUGGGUCCUAAAGCAAUCGGCGGCCGAGUGACCGGCUUCGAGCGUAGUAAAAGUCUUAUCCCGCUCUAGAAGCCUGGCCUCAGCCCGCCGUACAGCCUUUUUAAACCUCAAGGUUGACCUCGGAUAAGGUAGGGAUACCCGCUGAACUUAA